This 280-nucleotide ribosomal RNA is filed under the name uncultured bacterium. RNAcentral's name for it is "partial 16S ribosomal RNA". It matches the Rfam family "Bacterial small subunit ribosomal RNA", at positions 73 to 353 of the family's 1533-position model. The record is from RNAcentral.
UUGCAAACUGAAGAUGGCGACCGGCGCACGGGUGAGUAACACGUAUCCAACCUACCGAUAACUCCGGAAUAGCCUUUCGAAAGAAAGAUUAAUACCCGAUGGCAUAGUUCUUCCGCAUGGUAGAACUAUUAAAGAAUUUCGGUCAUCGAUGGGGAUGCGUUCCAUUAGGUUGUUGGCGGGGUAACGGCCCACCUAGUCUUCGAUGGAUAGGGGUUCUGAGAGGAAGGUCCCCCACAUUGGAACUGAGACACGGUCCAAACUCCUACGGGAGGCAGCAUGG